GGACAUUUAUUGAGGUUCCGCUCUAUACCCUUUGUGAACAUACCUAACUGUUGCUUCGGCGGGCAGGGGGUGCCGCCUGCGGACCCCCCUCCCGGCCCUGCCCUCACGGGCGGAGCGCCCGCCGGAGGAUACCAAACUCUAUUUUAACGACGUUUCUUCUGAGUGGCACAAGCAAAUAAUUAAAACUUUCAACAACGGAUCUCUUGGUUCUGGCAUCGAUGAAGAACGCAGCGAAAUGCGAUAAGUAAUGUGAAUUGCAGAAUUCAGUGAAUCAUCGAAUCUUUGAACGCACAUUGCGCCCGCCAGCAUUCUGGCGGGCAUGCCUGUUCGAGCGUCAUUUCAACCCUCAAGCUCUGCUUGGUGUUGGGGCCCUACGGUUGACGUAGGCCCUUAAAGGUAGUGGCGGACCCUCUCGGAGCCUCCUUUGCGUAGUAACUAACGUCUCGCACUGGGAUUCGGAGGGACUCUUGCCGUAAAACCCCCAAAUUUUUAAAGGUUGACCUCGGAUCAGGUAGGAAUACCCGCUGAACUUAAGCAUAUCAAUAAGCGGAGGAA
This 555-nucleotide ribosomal RNA is filed under the name Colletotrichum coccodes. RNAcentral describes it as "eukaryotic LSU rRNA". The stretch from base 184 to 337 matches the Rfam family "5.8S ribosomal RNA". Lineage: Eukaryota; Fungi; Ascomycota; Sordariomycetes; Glomerellales; Glomerellaceae. The record is from RNAcentral.